UACGGGAAAGCCGAAAACCGGUCAUCUAACAGAGUAGGCA
This is a non-coding RNA of Sphingobacteriales bacterium SCN 48-20, 40 nucleotides long. Lineage: Bacteria; Pseudomonadati; Bacteroidota; Sphingobacteriia; Sphingobacteriales. The record is from Rfam.